UAAAAAUAUUUACUUUAAUAAUUCAGGUCAGAGUGUGAGUGAAUUAAGUUCAUCACCACCUGUCAAAAAGCCAUGUAAUGGAACUCCUAUUGACAAACCAUCCACAUUUUCAUUGUUGUCAG
Long non-coding RNA from Hydra vulgaris (swiftwater hydra), 122 nucleotides. RefSeq lists it as uncharacterized. Lineage: Eukaryota; Metazoa; Cnidaria; Hydrozoa; Anthoathecata; Hydridae. The record is from RefSeq and is a predicted model, not a curated record.